GUAGAGGAGAUGGCGCAGGG
Molecule: microRNA, 20 nt
Filed under: Macaca mulatta (Rhesus monkey)
Lineage: Eukaryota; Metazoa; Chordata; Mammalia; Primates; Cercopithecidae
Also listed under: 5 other names
Description: mml-miR-877-5p
Gene: mml-miR-877-5p
Source: miRBase by way of RNAcentral